RNAcentral lists this ribosomal RNA (599 nucleotides) under Ehrlichia sp. SC1. RNAcentral's name for it is "bacterial SSU rRNA". It matches the Rfam family "Bacterial small subunit ribosomal RNA", at positions 839 to 1435 of the family's 1533-position model. Lineage: Bacteria; Pseudomonadati; Pseudomonadota; Alphaproteobacteria; Rickettsiales; Anaplasmataceae. The record is from RNAcentral.
CUUUGUAUUGUAGCUAACGCGUUAAGCACUCCGCCUGGGGACUACGGUCGCAAGACUAAAACUCAAAGGAAUUGACGGGGACCCGCACAAGCGGUGGAGCAUGUGGUUUAAUUCGAUGCUACGCGAAAAACCUUACCACUUUUUGACAUGAAGGUCGUAUCCCUCCUAACAGAGGGAGUCAGUUCGGCUGGACCUUACACAGGUGCUGCAUGGUUGUCGUCAGCUCGUGUCGUGAGAUGUUGGGUUAAGUCCCGCAACGAGCGCAACCCUCAUCCUUAGUUACCAACAGGUAAUGCUGGGCACUCUAAGGAAACUGCCAGUGAUAAACUGGAGGAAGGUGGGGAUGAUGUCAAAUCAGCACGGCCCUUAUAAGGUGGGCUACACACGUGCUACAAUGGCAACUACAAUAGGUUGCGAGACCGCAAGGUUUAGCUAAUCCAUAAAAGUUGUCUCAGUUCGGAUUGUUCUCUGCAACUCGAGAGCAUGAAGUCGGAAUCGCUAGUAAUCGUGGAUCAUCACGCCACGGUGAAUACGUUCUCGGGUCUUGUACACACUGCCCGUCACGCCAUGGGAAUUGGCUUAACUCGAAGCUGGUGUGC